RNAcentral lists this ribosomal RNA (1880 nucleotides) under human gut metagenome. Its description in RNAcentral is "bacterial LSU rRNA". It matches the Rfam family "Bacterial large subunit ribosomal RNA", at positions 3 to 1977 of the family's 2925-position model. The record is from RNAcentral.
UCAAGCUGAAAAGAGCGCAAGGGGAAUGCCUUGGCAUCAGGAGCCGACGAAGGACGUGACAAGCUGCGAUAAGCCACGGGGAGGAGCAAAUAUCCGUUAUAUCCGUGGAUUUCCGAAUGGGGGAACCCGCUCAAGCAAUACUUGAGCAUCGUGCGUUGAAUCAAAUAGGCGUACGAAGGGAACGGCCUGAACUGAAACAUCUAAGUAGGGCCAGGAAAAGACAUCAACCGAGAUUCCGCUAGUAGUGGCGAGCGAACGCGGAGGAGGCCAAACCGGAGGAUUUUAUUCUCCGGGGUUGCGGACAGACAUCAAGACCAGAGGAAAUUAAGAGAACGGCGUGGGAAAGCCGGCCACAGAAGGUGAGAGCCCUGUAUCUGAAAAUGAAGACUGGCAGUCUGGAUCCAGAGUACCGCGGGACACGUGAAACCCCGUGGGAAACCGGGUGGACCACCAUCCAAGCCUAAAUACUACCUGAUGACCGAUAGAGGAGCAGUACCGUGAGGGAAAGGUGAAAAGGACCCCGGGAGGGGAGUGAAAGAGAACCUGAAACCUUGUGCUUACAAGCAGUCAAAGCACGUUAAAGUGUGAUGACGUACUUUUUGUAGAACGGUCCGGCGAGUUAUAGUAACGAGCAAGCUUAAGGUAUUGAGUACCGGAGGCGAAGCGAGAGCGAGUCUGAAUAGGGCGUAAAGUUCGUUGCCAUAGACCCGAAACCGGGUGACCUAUCCAUGAGCAGGCUGAAGUGAGAGUAAAAUCUCAUGGAGGGCCGAACCGACCCCCGUUGCAAUGGUGGCGGAUGACUUGUGGAUAGCGGAGAAAUUCCAAUCGAACUCGGAGAUAGCUGGUUCUCCCCGAAAUAGCUUUAGGGCUAGCCUCAUAUUAGAUACCCGGAGGUAAAGCACUGAAUGGCCUAGCGCCCGAGAGGGUAGCGAAGCCUAUCAAACUAAGAAUGCCGGAGUAUUGAUGUAUGGGAGUCAGACAGUGUGAGAUAAAUCUCAUUGUCAAAAGGGAAACAGCCCAGAUCUACAGCUAAGGUCCCAAAUUGUAUCUAAGUGGAAAACGAUGUGGAAAUACGCAGACAACCAGGAUGUUGGCUCAGAAGCAGCCACUCAUUUAAAGAGUGCGUAAUAGCUCACUGGUCGAGCGUCUCUGCGCGGAAAAUUUAACGGGGCUAAGAUACAAACCGAAGCUUAGGCUGCACUUUUAGUGCGGGGUAGGGGAGCGUUGUGUAAGCGGAGAAACAGUAGCGGAAGCGGCUGUGGAGUUUACAGAAGUGAGAAUGCCGGAAUGAGUAGCGCGAAUGAUGUGAGAAUCAUCAUGGCCGGAAACCUCAGGUUUUUGGAGGAAGGUUCGUCCGCUCCAAGUUAGGCGGGAGCUAAGGUCAGGCCGAAAGGCGUAGCCGAUGCACAGACGGUAGAGAUUCCGUCCCCACCGAAAGAUUUAAGCACAGGGACACUUUUAGAAGGUCGGAGCCAGGUGUUGGUUCUGGUAGAGAUCGAGGGAAGAAUAGUACCGAAGUCCGGCUGGAUAAGAGGCGAGAAAAGCUGCGUGUAUAUCUAAGGUGCCCGUACCGCAAACCGACACAGGUAGGUAGGAAGAAGAUUCUAAGGCCAACGGGAGAAGGGUUGUUAAGGAACUCGGCAAAUUGACCCCGUAACUUCGGGAGAAGGGGUGCUCCAGAGAUGGAGCCGCAGAGAAUCGGCCCAAGCAACUGUUUACCAAAAACACAGGUUUGUGCUAAAUCGAAAGAUGACGUAUACGAGCUGACGCCUGCCCGGUGCUGGAAGGUUAAGAGGAGAUGUGCAAGCAUUGAAUCGAAGCCCCAGUGAACGGCGGCCGUAACUAUAACGGUCCUAAGGUAGCGAAAUUCCUUGUCAGGU